ACUUCCCACAAUGCAACACGGUGACCCCUAACGUACCUUAAACUGCUGCAAAAGAGACGUUUCUCCUGGUGUCUUGUGGGCGUGACGGUGCGAUCCCUCUCAGGCUUCUGAGUCUCUGCUGGAGUCAGAAGUUUUGGGCGAAUCCCAGGCGCUCCAAGAGAAAUGCUACACCAUCCAUCCAUCUUGCAGGCGUUGCUGCCCAGGCGCAACGCUGAGAAGGCAAAUACUAAAGGGCGCUGUCCUUUCCUCGUGGAGCUCACAGUCCGCUGGGGAGACCGUGAGAUGACAGCGGAGAAACUAGGGCGAUCAAUAGUACUCAGUGCAAGGAGAGCGAGCAGAGAAGGCAGACUUAAUGCUUGCUGAGGAAGACUUCACAGAGGAGGUAGUGUCAGGGCUGAGACUAGAAGAAGGAUUAUAAGUGACUAGAGUUUACUUUAUCCUUCUCGUUAACUAAAACUAAUUUACCUCUCACCUUUCCUCCUAUUGUCAUCCCACCCCUGUCGAGGCAAUCACACCUUAAAAAAUAAAGGAGAGGUUAUUCCUGCUUUUGCCGUGCUGUGAUCCAGGGCAGAGUUUCUUGUCAACCAGUAAAACAUCCAGUAACACAGCCAAUGGAAAUAAAUGAAUGGGUCUCUGUUUAUGGUGAAGAUUCUUUCAUUCUCCAGCUGCAGACUUGAUAUGGUGAAACUCUCUGGGAAGGAAAGGAACUCAAGAGUCCCAUACGGAAAAUUGUUCAGCUGGAGGGGUAUCAGAAAGAUGGAUUUCCAAAGCCAACUGUUUCCUGUAGUGUGUGGAUCUCUGCAAGCAGAGCCUCAUCUUUCAAUUUCAGCUACAUGAAAGAGAAAGAAAUGGAAAUAUAUAUGUCAUACGUGAUAUACUUUAUGUGGCUUUGAAGACCCCGCUUUUGUGGGGCUACAGCUAAAGAACAUAGUUCCCGGGGAUGGAAUUGGCUCUUCCUCUUUCCCUCCUUCGUGAAAACUCCAGUAGAAGACCUUAGAACCUUGUCCUGGUUACAUGGAUAUGUUUACUUUGUGAAAAUUCAUCAAGCACUUUGAACAGUCAUGAUUUGUACAUUUUUUUGUAAGAUAACUUCAUUAAAGUCUACUUUUUUAUUUUUAAAAA
Molecule: non-coding RNA, 1122 nt
Organism: Macaca mulatta (Rhesus monkey)
Lineage: Eukaryota; Metazoa; Chordata; Mammalia; Primates; Cercopithecidae
Source: RefSeq, a predicted model, not a curated record